UGGGGAAUAUUGCGCAAUGGGGGAAACCCUGACGCAGCAACGCCGCGUGCGGGAUGAAGGCUUUCGGGUUGUAAACCGCUUUCAGCAGGGAAGAUAGUGACGGUACCUGCAGAAGAAGCCCCGGCUAAAUACGUGCCAGCAGCCGCGGUAAUACGUAUGGGGCGAGCGUUAUCCGGAUUCAUUGGGCGUAAAGCGCGCGCAGGCGGGCUGCUAAGCGGGACCUCUAAUCUCGGGGCUCAACCCCGAGCCGGGUUCCGAACUGGCAGCCUCGGGUUCGGUAGGGGUAGGCGGAAUUCCCGGUGUAGCGGUGGAAUGCGCAGAUAUCGGGAAGAACACCGAUGGCGAAGGCAGCCUACUGGGCCGCAACCGACGCUGAGGCGCGAAAGCUGGGGGAGCGAACAGG
Molecule: ribosomal RNA, 403 nt
Filed under: uncultured bacterium
Lineage: Bacteria
Description: bacterial SSU rRNA
Rfam family: Bacterial small subunit ribosomal RNA
Source: RNAcentral